AUGAUGCACCACCCACCCCAGUGCAUGUCCUUUAGGAGAUUGGAAGCAAUCGAUGUGUUGUCCCUGCUACUGAACUUACUGAAAUCCUCAAUGCAGCUCCUGAACCUGCGUCCACUUCGACUGCACGCACAGGUAAUCUGCUCGCUGACGAUUUGGCACCUGCUGCGCCUUCUUAACUACCAAAAUCAAUCCUGGAAAAAGCGCUGCACCAUUCGGUGGAUCAAGUUCGGCGAUGAAAAUACGAAAUUCUUCCAGGCAGUUGCCACUGAAAGAUAUCGCCGUAACAUCACCAGCUUCAGAAAAGAUGAUGGAGCUCUUGUUGAUAAUCAUUCGGGCAAAGAGGCACUCCUGUUUCAAACUUACACUGAUCGUUUGGGCACCUCGCGACUGACAGAAAUGAAGUUCAACCUUUCAAACAUUGUUCAGCGCCAUCAUGAUCUGGACCAGUUAACUGAACAAUUGCACACGAUGAGAUCGAUGCAGUAA
This 486-nucleotide ribosomal RNA is filed under the name Triticum aestivum (bread wheat). RNAcentral's name for it is "partial small subunit ribosomal RNA". Lineage: Eukaryota; Viridiplantae; Streptophyta; Magnoliopsida; Poales; Poaceae. The record is from RNAcentral.